RNAcentral lists this ribosomal RNA (253 nucleotides) under uncultured bacterium. Its description in RNAcentral is "partial 16S ribosomal RNA". It matches the Rfam family "Bacterial small subunit ribosomal RNA", at positions 524 to 776 of the family's 1533-position model. The record is from RNAcentral.
UACGUAGGGGGCGAGCGUUGUCCGGAAUGAUUGGGCGUAAAGGGCGCGUAGGCGGCCUGUUAAGUCUGGAGUGAAAUUCCUGCUUUCAAGGUAGGAAGUGCUUUGGAAACUGGCGGGCUGGAGUGCAGGAGAGGUUAGCGGAAUUCCCGGUGUAGCGGUGAAAUGCGUAGAGAUCGGGAGGAACACCAGUGGCGAAGGCGGCUAACUGGACUGUAACUGACGCUGAGGCGCGAAAGUGUGGGGAGCAAACAGG